GAGGCGAGAGGUCAUCAUUUGUUUUAGAGGAACAUCACAAACACAUAUGCCGUGCGGUGUUCAGAGGGCAAAAUGUAGAAAAAUGUAUCUUAGAUAUAAUAAGCAAAUCGAAUCCUGAUGUUGUCACCACAGCAGCAUGCAAACUGGUUUCUACAGAGUGCAAAUCACUAUGUAAACGUGGAUCAUAUUCCAUCUUACAACAAAAAACUUAUGAUGGAAUUUUCAGCUUUACGUGGGAUUCCUUUUACAAAGAAAUUCAAGUAAGAGCACCGAACACACUCAGAGUUGUUUCGGCCAUAGCAAUUGAUAUCCCUAUUCCACCAACAGAAAAAAAAUUUCUACUACUGAUGAGCUCUCUUGGUACUUGCUUCCAUGGAAGAAAUGGCCAGAUAUCCUCUCUGCAGUACCAAAUUGGAUUCAUUUUAGCUCAAGGAGGAUGCAAAGUAAGGGAUAUAGAAAGAUUAGCAAAACUGGGACUUUGCAUGUCACCCAAGUCUCUCUUCAAUAAACUCUCAUCACGGGAAAAGAACAUUGAUGUUGCAGUAUUAAGAGCCAAACAACAAUGGAUUGAAAGUGGAGGAACUACUAGUACAUAUCAAAUAAUCGUGAGAACUGGGACAAGACCAUAAUACCUGUGUAUCGAACUUCUUAACACUAAACAAUAUCCUUACAUUUGUUUAAUGUUUUAGUGGUAAUUGACAGGAUCCCUUUUGAAGAAAAUAUGCCUGAAACUGUUUAUUUGGAAGACUUUCCACUGCACAGGUUAAUACCAUCCGUAAAUGAACAAAAAAUGCUGAUUGAGGAACUAACAUUUAUCAUAGCCACUUCUGUGAUUCAGAACAUUGAUUAGAUGCAGAAUGUAUUUGGAAAGAUCUAUCCAGUGCAUUUAAACCAUAAGUACAGUGAAUAUGCUGGAUUAAAAACAACACAGUACUCCCUUGGUCUAUUUGACUGUGAUGAGAACAAGACACAGGGUGUCAUUAGAUUGCUGAAAGAGCUCACCCAAUAUGUCCCAGUUGACAAAAAUGGAAACAUUGAAGAGGUUUUCUUUGGUGG
Molecule: long non-coding RNA, 1056 nt
Organism: Saccostrea echinata
Lineage: Eukaryota; Metazoa; Mollusca; Bivalvia; Ostreida; Ostreidae
Exons: 3
Source: RefSeq, a predicted model, not a curated record